RNAcentral lists this long non-coding RNA (750 nucleotides) under Mus musculus (house mouse). RNAcentral describes it as "predicted gene 20544". The record is from RNAcentral. Lineage: Eukaryota; Metazoa; Chordata; Mammalia; Rodentia; Muridae.
AGUUACUGCCACCCUCUCCCAGGUCUAGAGAGGGGUACCCACGGUGGAGGGAGGUGGGAGGCCGAGACGGCCCCGGGGGUCGGCGGAGACCCAGCGGGAGCAGGGGGAAAUCGGAAGAGCUGGGGGCAUGGAGCGGGCGAGUUUGGAGCGGAAUGAGCCGGGAGCCCUACGUUGUGGAAGGAAGACAACAGUAUAGGACCAUCAGCAGGACCGGACAGAGAGGGCCCUGGCUGUCCUGGAACUUGUAGACCAGGCUGGCCUUGAACUCAGAAAUCCGCCUGCCUCUGACUCCCGAGUGCUGAGAUUAAAGGUGUGCACCACCACACCCGACAAGGAAGCCUGUUUUAAGAAGUGAUUCCAUGGAGGAGUUCUGCGGCGGCUCAGGGCUUGACUAAACAGUGGACCUCAGACAAGAGAGGCUAAACCAGGCUGCAGGUGACAGGAAGAAUUGAAUAAACUGAAAGCAAAGGGCAGCCUUCUAAUUACGCUUCGUGGCUAUGUGGACAACCUGGAGAAGUCUGGAAACAAGCCAGAAGCCCGAAGCCAGCAGUAGAGCUCUGACUGGCUUGUAUGCCUAGAAAGGAAGGGCUCUUCUUUCGCCUCACGGGCACAAAUGGGACCCACGAGCGCCGAUUUCAGACUAUUCUGAUCCCUUCAAAAAGAAAGUUAGGAGUCCAGGCUACUGUGAGUGAAUUUGAUUCUAAUUGUUUCAGAGAAUAUGGAAUAAAAUAUCUCAUUUGCAGUUGUUUA